Molecule: ribosomal RNA, 134 nt
Filed under: Nosema sp.
Lineage: Eukaryota; Fungi; Microsporidia; Nosematidae
Description: partial small subunit ribosomal RNA
Rfam family: Microsporidia small subunit ribosomal RNA
Source: RNAcentral
UAGCAGUAAACUAUGUUGAAUCAUAGAUAUAUUUUGAUAUAUAUUUAUGUAGAGAAAUUAAGAUUAUAUUGACUCUGGGGAUAGUAUGAUCGCAAGAUUGAAAAUUAAAGAAAUUGACGGAAGAAUACCACAAG